RNAcentral lists this long non-coding RNA (478 nucleotides) under Elaeis guineensis (African oil palm). RNAcentral describes it as "long non-coding RNA (EGUI_LNC040771)". The record is from RNAcentral. Lineage: Eukaryota; Viridiplantae; Streptophyta; Magnoliopsida; Arecales; Arecaceae.
AUCAUAUUUAGAUUCUAGUAUAGGGUUAAUUAGUAUUAAUUAAUGAGAUUAAUUAAUAAUUCUGCUGUAAAAUAGUAAUUUUGAAAAAGUUUUAAAAUUACCAUUUUGCCCCUAUACUGAAUUUUCGCUUCACUUCCAUCGUCUAUUCAUGGAUGGAAGAAUCAAUUCUUUUUUGUUUCUUCUUCUCUUCGCUGGGGCUUUCCUUCAUGCUGGGGUGAUCCAAGGAUCGGCCCCAACGAGAAUAAUUGGAUGGAGGUCGAUGAUCGGAAGGAUUUUCACCGACUAAAGGACAUGACAGUUCUACUGUAGAGAGAGCUGAUGACCGAACAAGCUCUCUACGAUGUCGGGCUUAGUUCGGUCAUCUUCUUAGGUAUAGCAUAGUUGAUCACUUUUAUUUUUACUUUUUUAUUUUUGAAUUGUACUAACUUUUUUUUUGUUCUGAUUGUAGCUAUAUAGCCGAGGACAUGAGUAUCGGCUG